Molecule: ribosomal RNA, 312 nt
Filed under: Acanthamoeba genotype T3
Lineage: Eukaryota; Discosea; Longamoebia; Acanthamoebidae
Description: SSU rRNA
Rfam family: Eukaryotic small subunit ribosomal RNA
Source: RNAcentral
GAGCUCAUCGUCGUCAGCAAUGACGGCGCGGUGAGUUCCUGGGGCCCAGAUCGUUUACCGUGAAAAAAUUAGAGUGUUCAAAGCAGGCAGAUCCAAUUUUCUGCCACCGAAUACAUUAGCAUGGGAUAAUGGAAUAGGACCCUGUCCUCCUAUUUUCAGUUGGUUUGAAGACCAGGGUAAUGAUUAAUAGGGAUAGUUGGGGGGCAUUAAUAUUUAAUUGUCAGAGGUGAAAUUCUUGGAUUUAUGAAAGAUUAACUUCUGCGAAAGCAUCUGCCAAGGAUGUUUUCAUUAAUCAAGAACGAAAGUUAGGGG